AGGGGAAUUUUGCACAAUGGGGGAAAAACUGAUGCAGCGACGACGCGUGAUUUAGAAGGCCUUCGGGUUGUAAAAAUCUUUUCUAUGGGAAGAAAAUGACAGUACAAUAGGAAUAAGGAUCGGCUAAUUACGUGCCAGCAGCCGCGGUAAUACGUAAGGUCCGAGCGUUGUCCGGAAUCAUUGGGCGUAAAGGGUACGUAGGCGGGUAAGCAAGUUAGAAGUGAAAUCCUGUAGCUCAACUACAGUAAGCUUUUAAAACUGCUCAUCUUGAGAAAUGGAAGGUAAAGUGGAAUUCCUAGUGUAGCGGUGAAAUGCGCAGAUAUUAGGAGGAAUACCGGUGGCUAAGGAGACUUUCUGGCCAUAAUCUGACGCUGAGGUACGAAAGCGUGUGUAGCAAACAGG
Molecule: ribosomal RNA, 402 nt
Filed under: Verrucomicrobiota bacterium
Lineage: Bacteria; Pseudomonadati; Verrucomicrobiota
Description: Verrucomicrobia bacterium partial 16S ribosomal RNA
Rfam family: Bacterial small subunit ribosomal RNA
Source: RNAcentral